This 1486-nucleotide unclassified non-coding RNA is filed under the name leaf metagenome. Its description in RNAcentral is "partial contains small subunit ribosomal RNA, internal transcribed spacer 1, 5.8S ribosomal RNA, internal transcribed spacer 2, and large subunit ribosomal RNA". The stretch from base 903 to 1486 matches the Rfam family "Eukaryotic large subunit ribosomal RNA", at positions 1 to 587 of the family's 3401-position model. The record is from RNAcentral.
CCCGGCCGCGAGGCCGCGGUGGUCCUUCCGCGUAACACUUGCCGAAGCCUUAGCAGCCCGAAAGGGUGCGGCCCCGACGACUCUAAACAUGGAGAGGGCCGCUUGAAUGCUAGUCUGCAGCUCGCAGGCGACACUAUCAAAUUGCGGGAACACCCUAAAGACCUCAACACCAAGCGCCCGCGGGAAACCGCGGCGUGGCCGAGCUAAUAGCCCUGGGUACGGUAACAGCUUGAGGUAUGACGCCCCCUCCUGGGGGGCCGAAAUGGGCAAUCCGCAGCCAAGUCCUAACGCGCUCGCGGGCGCCACGGAUGCUGUUCACAGGCCAAAUGGUAGUGGGUGACUGUCCGCAGUUGCUUAAGAUAUGGUCGGGCCCCGCCAGAAAUGGCGGGGGUAAGUUUACGCCGUAACAACCGUUCCGUAGGUGAACCUGCGGAAGGAUCAUUAUCGUGGGGCCUCUGGCCCCGUCGAGAUAGCGUCCUUGCCUAUUUUUUGGAGCACCCUUCGUUUCCUCGGCAGGCCCGCCUGCCACUGGGGACCCCCGAAACUCUCUGUAAACACAGCAACCGUCUGAAGAAACAAGCAAAAAUCAAAACUUUCAACAAUGGAUCUCUUGGUUCUGGCAUCGAUGAAGAACGCAGCAAAAUGCGAUAAGUAGUGUGAAUUGCAGAAUUCAGUGAAUCAUCGAAUCUUUGAACGCACAUUGCGCCCUUUGGUAUUCCUUAGGGCAUGCCUGUUCGAGCGUCAUUUACACCCUCAAGCGCAGCUUGGUGUUGGGCGUCUGUCCCGCCGUCACGGCGCGGACUCGCCUCGAAACGAUUGGCGGCCCCUUCGGCGGCUCUGAGCGCAGCAGAUUUGCGUCUCUCGCGGCGGAACGGUGGCCUCCAGAAGCCUCCUCCUCAGUUUGACCUCGGAUCAGGUAGGGAUACCCGCUGAACUUAAGCAUAUCAAUAAGCGGAGGAAAAGAAACCAACAGGGAUUGCCCUAGUAACGGCGAGUGAAGCGGCAACAGCUCAAAUUUGAAAUCUGGCCCUCUCGGGGGCCCGAGUUGUACUUUGCAGAGGGUGCUUUGGCGUUGGCUGUGGUCUAAGUUCCUUGGAACAGGACGUCGCAGAGGGUGAGAAUCCCGUACGUGGCCGCCAGCCUCCGCCGUGUAAAGCCCCUUCGACGAGUCGAGUUGUUUGGGAAUGCAGCUCUAAAUGGGAGGUAAAUUUCUUCUAAAGCUAAAUAUUGGCCAGAGACCGAUAGCGCACAAGUAGAGUGAUCGAAAGAUGAAAAGCACUUUGGAAAGAGAGUCAAAAAGCACGUGAAAUUGUUGAAAGGGAAGCGCUUGCAGCCAGACUUGCUUGCGGUUGCUCAGCCGGGCUUUCGCCCGGUGUACUCUCCCGCACGCAGGCCAGCAUCAGUCCGGGCGGUUGGAUAAAGGCCCAUUAAACGUACCUCCCCUCGGGGAGGACUUAUAGGGUGGGUGCCAUGCAACCAGCCCGGA